This 210-nucleotide long non-coding RNA is filed under the name Homo sapiens (human). RNAcentral describes it as "HSALNT0243442". The record is from RNAcentral. Lineage: Eukaryota; Metazoa; Chordata; Mammalia; Primates; Hominidae.
CUGUGAUAAUUUCUCAUGGAAUGAUGAAUGUCAGAAAGUAGCAGUGAAAUUAAUAUACACUGUACUUAAAAAAUUAAACACUUGGGAAAUAACCCUUUGAGCCACUGGAAAAUGAUAAAGUCUAAGACAUUUCAAUCAAGUUAAUUUCGGUACUAAAGCAAUGCAUUUUUCCCACCAGAAACUAUAUGAAAAAACAAAUUAAACAAAAUG